UACGUAGGGUCCGAGCGUUGUCCGGAAUUAUUGGGCGUAAAGAGCUCGUAGGCGGUUUGUCGCGUCUGCUGUGAAAUCCCGAGGCUCAACCUCGGGCCUGCAGUGGGUACGGGCAGACUGGAGUGCGGUAGGGGAGAAUGGAAUUCCUGGUGUAGCGGUGGAAUGCGCAGAUAUCAGGAGGAACACCAAUAGCGAAGGCAGCUCGCUGGGACGUUACUGACACUGAGGCGCGAAAGCGUGGGGAGCGAACAGG
This 253-nucleotide ribosomal RNA is filed under the name uncultured bacterium. RNAcentral's name for it is "partial 16S ribosomal RNA". It matches the Rfam family "Bacterial small subunit ribosomal RNA", at positions 524 to 776 of the family's 1533-position model. The record is from RNAcentral.